GUGCUGCCGAAGUGAGCACAUAUACUAAACUUGGAACAAUAAAGAACAGAACAGCAUGGUCCCUGUGCAAAGAUGACAGGCAGGUUUGUGAAACAUUCCAUUUUUUU
Molecule: small nuclear RNA, 107 nt
Organism: Chiloscyllium plagiosum (whitespotted bambooshark)
Lineage: Eukaryota; Metazoa; Chordata; Chondrichthyes; Orectolobiformes; Hemiscylliidae
Source: RefSeq, a predicted model, not a curated record